GGCCCAGUCAAAAUAUUGCAAGACAACCCAGAGAACACCCAUCUACUGCUUCCCUGAUCACGGCUCACCCAGGAGGCAUGGGAAGUACUGGUUGGCUACUAGAGAGGUCGGACCCUCUGACAAAAUAUGAAUGAACUGGCACAAUGACGGCACUGGGUUUGGUCCAGAGAGGCUCCAUUUCCUCUGCAACAGACCGUCAGGAAAGCAGAAGCACAGUGCUUCUGAAAUUGUUUGGGAAAUCAUCUGAUUGAAGGUCAGCUUCAGAGGAUUUGUGACUAUCGCCUGCUAUGGAUUCUUUUUCCACUUGGAAAUGAGCCCAGGGUGUCCAAUGUUAGUCAAGGAUGUCUGGGGCGUUUGUGGCUCUAACAAAAGUAUACAAUAUAAUGCUGUAGCCCCUGAUGAUUUCAUGCUAUUGGUCCUUACUCCCAAUCCAUUGCCAAGAUAUUGGUGCGUGGGAUAAAGAUGGACAGAAUUUUCAGGCUGGAAACAUUUUUAGCAGGUGGAAGAAACCAAUAAGAAGGUUCAACGGCUGAGAUGGCGACGCAGCAAAGCACUGUGGAGUGCUCAGGGCGUGUUGGAGCACAAAGGACAACAUGGCCAUCCAAUGCAGCUGAGGAAGUCUCCAGGUGUAACGACUUUUCGUGCCACUGGACCCAGGCUUCCAACGCCGAGAGAGUGGGACUGUCUCUGUGCAUCGACUUUUCCACUUAAAUCUUCAUGCAUAAGUGUCUUUGUGCACAAAAAUGCACAAAGACAAUUGUCAUCCUCGGUUACCGAGAGACUACUACUACUAUAAAUAUAAGAUCUUCAAAUAAUAUCAAUAAACAUAUUUAUUAUAUCUAUUACUUAUAUAUAAACAUAAUAUCUUCAAAUAAUGUAAAUAAACAUAUUAUAUCUAUUACUUAUUAUAUAUAAAGACAAUAUAUUCAAAUGAUAUAAAUAAACAUAUUUAUUACAUCUAUUACUUAUUAUGU
This 974-nucleotide long non-coding RNA is filed under the name Monodelphis domestica (gray short-tailed opossum). RNAcentral's name for it is "lncRNA (ENSMODG00000040812.1)". The record is from RNAcentral. Lineage: Eukaryota; Metazoa; Chordata; Mammalia; Didelphimorphia; Didelphidae.